This is a long non-coding RNA of Oncorhynchus nerka (sockeye salmon), 3822 nucleotides long. RefSeq lists it as uncharacterized. The record is from RefSeq and is a predicted model, not a curated record. NCBI's taxonomy places the organism in Eukaryota, Metazoa, Chordata, Actinopteri, Salmoniformes, Salmonidae. The transcript has 2 exons.
UUUGAGUAUGUCGUAGUAACAUUGUUUGUGUUUCCUUAUCAUAUUCAGACUAAUAACAGUCCAAUAAUUCAUUGCGCCCCAAAAUGCAUUCAGAACGUUGCACAUCUAGGCCAGGAGCCAGAGACUAAAGAAACAUCUGAACCUUACAAAAGGUUACGCUUUUCACAUGCUAGUCUCCAGCCACUCUGUCAAGACAUCCUUGUAAAUCUGAAUGGGAAUUUAAGAGGUAGCAACACUCACCGAUGGACAAUAAAGUAGCUAACUGACAAUCCGUCAGUUACUGCACACCACAGCAAGACUAUAAGGUUCAAGUUUGUGAGAGUGGUGAAGAGAAAGGAAACCACAGAAGGCUCCCAACCCUAAGGCUCUCCAGAGGUUAGUGAGGUCUGAACAACGCAUCACCGGGGGCAAAUUACCUGCCCUCCAGGACACCUACACCACCCGAAGUCACAGGAAGGCCAACAAGAUCAUCAAGGACAACAACCACCCGAGCCACUGCCUGUUCACCCCUCUAUCAUCCAGAAGGCGAGGUUAGUACAGGUGCAUCAAAGCGGGGACCGAGAGACUGAAAAACAGCUUCUAUCUCAAGGCCAUCAGACUGCUAAACAGCCACCACUAACAUUGAGUGGAUGCUAUCAACAUACUGACUCGUCUCUAGCCACUUUAAUAAUGAAAAGUUGAUGUAAUAAAUGUAUCACUAGCCACUUUAAACAAUACCACUUUAUAUAAUGUUUACAUAUCACACAUUAAUCAUCUCACAUGUAUAUACUGUACUCUAAACCAUUUACUUCAUCUUGCCUAUGCCAUUCGGCCAUUGCUCAUCCAUAUAUUUAUAUGUACAUAUUCUUAUUCAUUCCUUUACACUUGUGUGUAUAAGGUAGUUGUUGUGAAAUUGUUAGGUUAGAUUACUUGUUAGAUAUUAUUGCAUGGUCGGAACUAGAAGCACAAGCAUUUCGCUACUCUCACAUUAACAUCUGCUAACCAUGUGUAUGUGACAAAUAAGAUUUGAUUUGAUUUGAUUUGUUCAAUGAACCAUAAACAAUUCAUGAACAUGCACCUGUGGAACGGUCAUUAAGACACUAACAGCUUAUGGACGGUAGGCAAUUAAGGUCACAGUUAUGAAAACUUAGGACACUAAAGAGGCCUUUCUACUGACUUUGAAAAACAGCAAAAGAAAGAUGCCCAGGGUCCCUGCUCAUCUGCGUGAACAUGCCUUAGGCAUGCUGCAAGGAGGCAUGAGGACUGCAGAUGUGGCCAGGGCAAUAAAUUGCUAUGUCCGUACUGUGAGACGCCUAAGACAGCGCUACAGGGAGACAGGGCUGAUCGUCCUCGCAAUGACAGACCACAUGUCACAACACCUGCACAGGAUCGGUACAUCUGAACAUCACACCUGCGGGACAGGUACAGGAUGGCAACAACAACUGCCCGAGUUACACCAGGAACGUACAAUCCCUCCAUCAGUGCUCAGACUGUCCGCAAUAGGCUGAGAGAGGCUGGACUGAGGGCUUGUAGGCCUGUUGUAAGGCAGGUCCUCACCAGACAUCACCAGCAACAACGUCACCUAUGGGCUCCUCUGAACAACAGAGUCCUGACGAGAGAACACAUUUUCUAUGCCAGGUGAAAUUGCGCAUUAUUAGCUCAUUGUUAUGGAUGUAUGCAAAUAAAGGUCACUAGAACACAGCUUAAACAAAUGCAAAUUCAGCUACUUUGUUGUUAUUCUGGCUGCACUGUUUGAUGUGACUGAAAGUUAGCCGUAGUUGGCUAGCUGGCAGGCAAGGGAUAAGAACGUUGCCAGCCAGUGUGGCAAUAGAACAUUUUGAAUGAACGACUGGGUCACGUCCAUAGACACAGAACAAAGCCGUACUGAUAGAACGAUCGAUCAGCCGGCUUGGGUAGGAACCCUAGAUUUGUCACGACUUCCGCCGAAGUCGGCUCCUCUGCUUGUUCGUUCGGCGAUCGACGUCACCGGCUUUCUAGCCAUCGCCACUCCAUUAUUCAUAUGUCCAUUUUGUCUUGUCUUGUUUCGUUUAGCGCUUUACUUUAUUGUUCCGUGUUUUUGAGCGCGUUUGUUUUGUUGUGCUCCCGGUUUGGAACUAUAAUAAAGUGCGAUUUAUUUAAUCAUACUCUGCUCUCCUGCACCUGACUUCGUCUUCAUACACAGCCUGACAAGAUUUGUGUCGGGACUAUAUCUCGUUGAAGGAUGAGUUAGUAUGAGAAUUUUUUUAAUGAAAAUACAAUAUGUCAAUCAUUAUUUAAAUAUUUUGGUAACCCAUUGUAAAAAUAAAAGUGAUGAUCCCCUUGAAGCCGGUGUUUGGAGGAUGUACUCUUCUUCGUCUCAGGCCUGACAACACCCUGCCAAGAUAUCCUCCAAACACCGGCUUCUCUGGCAUUAUCACUUAAAUAGACACAUAAGUGCAUCUUUAUGACCACACAAAAUUAGGGUCAUACCGUUUAUCAUUUUAAUUCAGUUUCAUAUUGUGGGAUAAUACCAAAACAGUCAUUUAGCUAGAGAGCUUGUCAGGAAAAUGUUAUAUUUUUGAUUAAUGAACUACUUUCAACUGCCAUUCCUGCUAAAACUUUAAAGCACAGCUGUGUGAGUACCCUGGGUUGCGUGUUGAUGUUGUGGCGGUCAGAGUACUGAUGUCCUAAGUGUACAGGCAGUGUUAAGGCAGGUGGGCCCUUAAGCAUGCUGUGACCCCCAGGCCUACUCAGGACAACAAUUAUGAAGGUCAAAAGUCAGUUUAAUGCCGGGGGCUAAUCGGCCUUAGAUAUGCAUAUCCCCUUGAACCACGGCAAUCAGUGCUGAUCAGCCAGAUGUUACGGUAUUGGGACAACUGCAAGUGUGUGAGAAAGUAAUGAGAAUGUACUGGAAUAUACGAUAAAUAAAUAUUUUCCAUGAAGCCAAUUUGAAUUACAGAAAAUUCAUAGGCUUUUUUUCAGUUAAUUACCCCAAUAAAAUGUUCUAACAUUAUUUUAGUUUACUUUGAUUUAUCUAUAAAGUAUAGGAAGUGGCAUUCCAUCCUGGCAUCGUGUAUAAAAUGUCAAAUGUGUUGCACUAACCAUCUACAUGUAAAUGAUUACAUAACUCUGUCUUAAUUCACACUUACCUCAGAGCUUUUGUUACUAACAUGCUCUAAUUCACAUUUAUGUGGCACUUAAAAUGAUCUAGCCAUCACAGUCCCCAUAUAAUAUUUAAGUGUUACCUCAGAGUACACCUCAGAAAAGUCACAGCUAGUCCACAUCACAUCCACACACGUCUAGCUGUAACACACAACGUGAUCUCUCUCUCAGCCUCUAAUCACUGCCAGAUAAUGUGUAUCCUGUCCCCUCUGACCUCUCACCUCUCCCUCUCUCUCUCACACUGGCUGUGGCGAUUCUGGGAAGGAUAACACCCUGGAGGUUACUACCCCACUACCCCAGCACGCUGGAGGAUCCAACCCCAGGAAGAGGUCACAUGUUGGGGCAGGGGAGGCAGGGGCUGGAGGGGAUUCCCUGUGGUCCAUUAAUCACAGAGCAGGAUAAACACAGCUGGAGCAGGAAAGGGUGGUAGAUCGUAGAUAGAGAUUCUGUAGGAGACAAGAGGCAUGCCGAAAUCAUACUAGUACCAUAGCACGCCCUCCAUUUCACAACGUGACAUCUCUGUCUCUCUGACAGGUGAAUUAACAUGGAGGUGAAUGAUUAUCAUAAUAUAGCUAAAUGUAACAUUGUUAUUUUGGUGGUCUGGCCUGUAUUCAAAUGUGUUGGUAAUUUCUUGUCUGUUUAGUUUAGGAUUGGAUCAUUCCUGGAACUUUCAAUAAAUUCCCUGGUUUUCCAGUAAUCCUG